RNAcentral lists this long non-coding RNA (4084 nucleotides) under Homo sapiens (human). Its description in RNAcentral is "non-protein coding lnc-NKX1-1-4:1". The record is from RNAcentral. Lineage: Eukaryota; Metazoa; Chordata; Mammalia; Primates; Hominidae.
GAAAAAAGAGGCGGGAGGGCGCAGAAAGUCCUUAAAGGGGCCGCAUGUACGGGCGCCGGGGGCGGGGCCGGCCGGGAAACUGAGGCCGAAAGGAAGUUCCGGUCUGGGCCUCAACGCCACGCCCGCCCGCGGGCUCGCAGCCAGGUCCCUUCACCUGCAGAGGGCCGGUGAGGACCGCCCAGACGGGCGGGCGCGGGCCCCCGCCCCCGAGCUCGCCCCGCGCAGGGCGCCCUGAACCCCGCGGCGCCUCCCCGCUCCGGCCUCGGGAAGGGAAUCCCUGGGCGGGCUUGGGGGUCUUCGGGGCCCACCUCGGCGCCAGACGCACAGCAGGUACCCCUGGGCCCGGGCUGGCCCUGGGCGGAAUGAGAAGCAGAGGCGCCGUCCGUCCUGCCGCCGAAGUCCGCAGCCUCGAACGCAGGGGAGUGCGAGGUCGGCUGCGGACGGACGGACCUGGAGACCGCGCUUGGGAAACCGUGGCUUCGGAGGAGCGUGGUGUGGACCCCACUCGCGGGGCGCCCGGCACAGGCCACGCAGAGCAGACGCCCGACUGGGCUCCCGGGGCUGGGUGCAGGGCGGGGGCCGCCGGCGGCGGGCCGGGGUUUCUUUUUCGGGGGGAUGGGCGUGCCCUUGCAUUACGGUGGUGGUAGCUCACAACUCUGUUAAUCGUGUUUUUACAGGGUGGGUUUCAGGAUGUGUGAGUUAUAUCUCAGUAAAGCAAUUAUUUUAAAAAGGAAAAGAAGAGGGACUCCCUGCGCCGCCCCUCUCUGCAGCACCAGCUUCUGUCCCUGGGCGUCAGUGGCUCCCAGCUCCUAGCUUGCAGCCAGCCCCGAGCCGCUCCUCCGCCUCACCCCUUCCUCACCCUGCCUCUUGCUUCACUGAGCAAGCUGCAGCCAGACCCUCCCUCAGCGCCCCUUGCCCUGUGCAUCCAAUCCCCGGCCUGUGGCUUCCUCCAAGGCACCCAUCCAGCAGUUUCCCUCUGUCUUCUACAGCGUGGUUUUUUUUGUUGUUACUAGUUCUCAUUAGUAUAAAAGGGUGCCGUUUCUCCCAUACUAACAAAACCCUCUCUUUAUCCAACUUUUCUUACCAAUUGCUAAGUCCAGUCUCCUUUACACUGCCCCGGGGUGUCCUCUCAGCCCUCAGGCUCAACAGCACAGCCAAGCUGCCCGUCCACUGCCCUCUGUAUCCGCUGAUGGCCCUGCAGCCUUUUUUUUUUUUUUUUUUUUUUUUUUUUUUGAGACAAAGUCUCGCUUUGUCACCCAGGCUGGAGUGCAGUGGCACGAUCGCGGUUCACUGCAGCCUCCGCCUCCCGGGUUCAAACGAUUCUCCUGCCUCAGCCUCCCGAGUAGCUGGGAUGACAGUCACCCGCCACCACGCCCAGCUCAUUUUUGAAUUUUUAGUAGAGACGGGGUUUCACCAUGUUGGUCAGGCUGGUCUCGAACUCCUGACUUCAGGUGAUCCGCCCGCCUCGGCCUCCCAAAGUGCUGGGAUUACAGGCGUGAGCCACCGUGCCUGGGCCACCGUGCCUGGGCCUGCCCUGCAUCCUUCUGUUCGCUUGGACCAAUUAUCUGACUCACUUGGGCUUCUCUCUUCCUCUCACUCCAUGCCCAUUUGGUUUGCAAAUCCUGACAGCCCUACCUUCAGAACACAUCCAGAUCUGAGCACGUCCCACUGCCUCAUUGCCACUGCCAAUUCCUGGCCACCCCUGCAGCAGGUCACUGCCGUCACCUUGUCUUUCCCUUGCACCCUGGUACCCCUAGACCAUCAUGCAGCAACCAGAGGGACCUUUGAAAGUCUAAGGUCGGAUCACAGGAUUCCUCUACACAAAAUCCUCCGACGGCUCCCAUCCCAGGGCAAGGCAAAACCUGUCGUGGCCUGUGUUUGCUGCCCCCUGCAUCCCACCGGUUGACUUCUCCAGCCUGCUCUUGCUGCCACACGGCCUCUGGGGAGCGGAUCCCUCUGCCGGGAAGCUUCUGCCAGUAUCCACAGAGUUCCUUGCCUCCUUCCAGCCACUGCUCAUGUCUCACCCUGAGCAAAUACUUCUGCACCCGCUCACCUCCCUGGCUCAACACCCCCCAUCCGUUUUCUAAACCUGCCGUGCUUGUUCCCAGGGCACUUCUGGCCCUUGUGUCACACAGACUUACUGUCUUACUAGGUGAUUCGCUUUUUUCUCUUCACUCCUAAAACAUACAGUCCCUGAAAAUAGGGAUCUUUGUUUCAUGAAGCCAGACAAAAAGCAGGUGCUCAAUAUUUGUUGAAUGCUGGAUAAGAUUAGAAAGCCAAGAUAAAUCAUGAUGAGAGUUAGACGAUAUUCUUGUUUGUUUUUGUUUGAGACAGAGUCUUGCUCUGUCGCCCAGGCUGGAGUGCAGUGGUGUGAUCUCGGCUCACUGCAACCUCUGCCUCCCAGGUUCAAAUGAUUCUCGUGUCUUGGCCUCCCAAAUAGCUGGGAUUACAGGCGCCCACCACCACGCCCAGCUAAUUUUUGUAUUUUUAGUAGAAACAGGGUUUCACCAUAUUGGCCAGGCUGGUCUCGAACUCCUGGCCUCAAGUGAUCUGCCCACCUCAGCCUCCGAAAGUGUUGGGAUUACAGGCAUGAGCCACUGCACCAAGCCAAGAAUUAGAAGAUACUUCUAAAAGAUAUUUUAAAAGAACCAAUGGAAACUUAGAGAUGAUAAAACCCAAGCAGGAUAAACAAAGAAAACCACCCAAGGCACAUCUUAAAUUGCAGAAAACUAGUGACAAAUCUUAGAAGCAGUCAGAUUAAACAAGGCGUAUGACAUACAGGCACAAAGAAGCCAAGGAUUUCUUGUCCCCUCCUCCCCCUCCACCCAAAAAAAAAAGCCAGAAGAAAAUGGAACAUCUUUAAGGUGGUAAAAGAAAAAAUACUGUCAAUCUAGAACUGUAUAUGCAGCAAUAUAGCCUUUAAAAACUGAGGUGAUGUAAAAGCAUUUUCAGACAAAAGCUGCAUGAAUUAUGACCAGCAGAUUUGCAGUCCAGGAACUGUUAUAGGAUGCUCUUCAGAUGAAAGGAAAAUGAUACCAGAGGCAAACUUUAUAAAAGGAAUGAAAAGUUCUAUAAAUACUUUUUUUUUUUGAGACGGAGUUUCACUCUUGUCACCCAGGCUGGAGUGCAAUGGUGCGAUCUUGGCUCACUGCAACCUCUGCCCUCUGGGUUCAAGCGAUUUUCCUGCCUCAGCCUCCCGAGUAGCUGGGAUUACAGGCACGUGCCACCACGCCUGGCUAAUUUGUGUAUUUUUAGUGGAGACAGGGUUUCACCAUGUUGGUCAGGCUGGUCUCGAAUUCCUGACCUCAUGAUCUGCCUCCUGGAGGUGGCAAUACCUUAGAUGCGAGAAGGAUCUAAAUCUGCAGGAAGAUAUACCAUAUUCAUGGGUUGAGGACUCAAUAUUGUUAUGAUUUAUAAGUCCUUGUUAUGGACUGAAUUGUGGCCCCUGCCUACCAAAUUCCUAUGUCGAAGCCCUAACCUCCAAUGUGACUUUAUUUGGAGAUGAGGCCUUUAAAGAGGGGAACGUUAAAUGAGAUUCUAGGGAUAGAGCCCUCAUCUGAUAGGACUGAUGUCCUCGUAAGAUGAAGAGACUCCUGAGAUGUGUGUGCACAGGAGGAAGUCCACCACGAGAGGUACACAGUGAGAAGGGGGCCGUCUGCAAGCCGGGAAGAGAGGCCUCACCGGGAGCCAACCCUGCCAGCAUCUCCUCUAGAACCGUGAAGAAAUAAAUGUCCAUUGUUUAAACCCGCUAGUCCGUGGUCUUCUGUUACGGCAGCCGAGCAAACUAAUACCGUCCCCAAAUAGGGAUGAUAGGUUCACUGCAGUUCCAGUGACAAUCCCAGCACACUUUUUACAGUGUUCAGCAGACACUGAUGAGUUGAUUUUACAACGUGCGUGGAAAUGCAACAGACCUAGGACCACCAAGACCAUUCUGAAAAAGCAGAACUGGAGGACUCAUCAUACCCCCUGGUUUCAAGAUUUGCCUUAAAACGGCAAUAGUUAAGAUAAUGUGGUGUUAGGACAAGGAUAGACCUAAAGGCCAGUCUAACAGAAGGUAGUGUCCAGAAAUAAACCCCAACUUAAC